AAGGAGCACACAAAUAUUAAAGGAAUUUUGUAGAGUAUGCAAAAAAAAAAAAAAAACCACCAAAAAACAGAACAUUACCAGCAGACCAUAAUAUAAAAUUAGAAAUUAAUCAUAAAGCAGGGCACCUGGGUGCCUUAGUUAAGCGUCCUAGUCU
Molecule: unclassified non-coding RNA, 154 nt
Organism: Panthera pardus (leopard)
Lineage: Eukaryota; Metazoa; Chordata; Mammalia; Carnivora; Felidae
Source: Ensembl